Pelobates cultripes (western spadefoot toad) is the source of this 1119-nucleotide non-coding RNA. The record is from the annotation of a GenBank genome assembly. Lineage: Eukaryota; Metazoa; Chordata; Amphibia; Anura; Pelobatidae.
UUUUUUUGUUAAACCUUAGGCUAUUGCUUUAUUUAUAGAAUGCUUAACUGUUUUCCCAAAAAGUAGAUGAAAUAUGUUUAAAACCAAAAGGUUUGUACCAAACAGGGCCAAGCAAUGUGGCCAAACAGUCUUCCUAAAGGCGUUCAUUGGGAGGAAUAGCACUCCGAGUCUCCCAUACGAAAUGUACAGGUAAGAUUCUUCAUUUUGCUCCAAGCACUGAACGCACUACAGUUCAUUGUAAUGAUGAUUGUGCAAAGAGUCCGUAGAUGGUAUUCUCAGCGAUUAGUUUCAAGCCAUUUGUGAGUGGUUUAACAAAACUAUUUGAAGCUUUAAAAAGUCUGGCAUCUAUCCAGGAGUCUAAAGCCCAGCCCUUCUGUGACACAGAAUCCAAUAUUUCCCAAAAUGUGGAGCUCUUUUAAAAGUACAAGUUUUUAAACUCCCUUAUCCCUUUAAAUUGUAAGCUCGUUUGGGCAAUGCCCUCUUCACCUACUGUUUUCUACGGUGCUGUGGAAUUUUUUGGUGUUAUGUUAAUAACUGUGAUUAGAAUGUAGAGGAUUUUCAACUAAACAUUGAACUGCACUGCAACAAGGGCCAAGUUUGCUAUAUUUUUGUUAAAAGGCAGAGCUCGGAUAUAAAUCUGCCAAUUUUUCUGAUAUAUCUCUUAUGCCGCAAGCUGAGCAAACAUCUGUUUAGUUUAAUUUUUCCAUCAUUCAGUGGUUAGUUGGUGGUACAUUUGUAGGUUUUAUUCGUUAAACAAAAAAUAUACUAAUUGGCUCGUCAUAUUGUGAUUAGAUAAGUCAAAUGGCAAAUGAUUUAGGUAAACUAGAAAAAUGGUCUGAGCUGACAUUUAAUGUGGAUAAGUGCAAGAUAAUGCAUCUUGGACGUAAAAACCCAAGGGCAGAGUACAGAAUAUUUGAUAGAGUCCUAACCGCAACAUAUGAGGAAAGGGAUUUAGGGGUAAUUAUUUCAGAUGACUUAAAGGACCACUAUAGUGCCAGGAAAACAAGUAUGUUUUCCUGGCACAAUAGUGCCCUGAAGGCAGGGCCGGACUGGCCCACCGGGAUACCGGGAAAUUUCCCGGUGGGCCGCGGCACCUGGGGGCCGGCCGCGUUCCUGGGC